AUUCUUCUUUGACAAUGACUGGUGCAGAAUUUUAUCAAACAGCUCGCCUCUCCCCUUCUUCACUCAAGUAUUUUGGACUUUGCUUGCGCAGAGGUAGCUACAGAGUGCGUCUCCAUUUUGCCGAAAUAAUGUAUACUGAUGACUCCACCUUUAGCAGCCUUGGAAGGCGGAUAUUUGACGUGGCAAUCCAGGUAAGUUGAUUCCCUAAUUUUCCAACAGACAUCUAUGACUACCACUUUCUUGGUUAAUUCAUUCCAUCUUUGGAUAUUUUGUUGUUUCAUGACUUAUUCCUCAGGAUUUUCUAGGAUCCCCUUCUCUCUCUCAAUUUUCUAUAGAUGGUUGGUGUUCAUUUGACUUUUAUGCAGGGGGAGGUUGUUUUGACAGACUUUGAUAUUGUGAAGGAAGCUAAUGGAGUUAGGAAAGGUAUUUACAGGGAUUUUAAUGUCCUCGUCAAUGGAAGUACACUGGAGAUCCAUUUGUACUGGACAGGGAAGGGCACCACAGCCAUCCCCGACAGAGGGGUAUAUGGACCCUUGAUAUCUGCAAUAGCUGUGACACCAAGUAAGUGUACUGUUAUUUUGUGUGGUCCACUGUCCUUUUCCACUGCCUCAUAAUGAGACCUUCUCUCUUUCCAUGCAGACUUUGAUCCUGAUACGGGGGGACUAUCUGCUGGAGCUAUCGCUGGGAUUGUAGUUUCUUCAUGUGUGGUAGGGUUUUCUAUUGUAGCUGCACUUUGGAUGAAAGGUUAUCUUGGAGGAAAAGAUGUUGAAGAUAAAGGUGAAAUUUUUGUUUUUGUAUAGUUUGCUGAACUAUUAGCAUAAUCAUAACUCUUAGAUCAGUAAUAGAUCAAGUUUCCUUCCAAAAUUCUUAAACGUUCUCUUCUUCUGCCUCUUGUUCUUCUUUAUUCUUCUGCUUUUCCCUACAUCUCUCUGGUUGUGCGCACUACUCUUGUUUCAGUGUUCAUACUGUACAAGCCUUAGUCACUGAACAAUUUCAUGUUAUCUUCUCGAGACAGAACUUCGAGCCCUUGAUCUACAGACAGGUCACUUUACCCUGAGACAAAUUAAAUCUGCUACAAACAACUUCGACCAUGCCAACAAGAUUGGAGAAGGAGGAUUUGGCCCUGUGUAUAAGGUUUUAAUUUUUUCAUCUUUCAGUUGUUGAUAAGGAUGAAAUCUAAUAAUUAAUAUCCCAUGCACAUAACCUGAAUUUUAUCUUUUUUUUAGGGUGUACUGUCAGAUGGUACUAUUAUUGCUGUGAAGCAACUCUCAUCCAAGUCGAAGCAAGGAAACCGUGAAUUUGUUAAUGAAAUAGGCAUGAUAUCUGCUCUACAACAUGACAACCUUGUCAGGCUCUAUGGGUGCUGUAUAGAAUCAAAUCAGUUGCUUCUGAUAUAUGAAUACCUGGAAAAUAAUUCUCUUGCUCGAGCACUUUUUGGUAAAUACUUUGCCAGCUUAUCUACCUGUUAAAAGCAUCUUUGAUUUUUUCUUGCCUUUCAACUUCCGUGUUCUUUCAUUUAGGUCGUGAGGAGCAACGGUUAAACCUUGACUGGUCUACUAGAAAGAAAAUAUGCUUAGGAAUAGCUAAAGGUCUGGCUUAUCUUCAUGAGGAAUCUCGGUUAAAAAUCGUCCAUAGAGACAUAAAGGCUACAAAUGUGCUUCUCGACAAGGAUCUAAAUGCCAAGAUAUCAGACUUUGGUUUGGCUAAGCUUGAUGAAGAAGAAAACACCCACAUCAGUACGCGAAUUGCUGGAACUAUGUGAGCUUUUUCCUCUCCAUAUUCGAUUCUUAAAUAUGGUUCUGUCAAAAGGGUGGCGGCUGUAUGUAGAAUAUUUGUACAUAACUUGUUCCUUGGUUAACUGAUGUCAAUAAAGUACAGAUGUUAGGCUUCAGAUCUUAUGAUGGGUGCAGAUAAUUUUCACCAAUUACUAAGAUUCAAUUUCUUUGACAGCAAUUGUUACAGUGGGACGAUUUCAAUAUAAUCCUUCAUAACAUUUUCUUACUUUACCUUAAAAGUGAAUGAACCGAAUUUAUUAUUUGGUGUUUAGGUCAGGUGUUUUUAUGGGGAUUACUGUCGUGAAUGAAGAUAUAUAAUAUAAGCCGCUCCAAUUGUUAGUUUGUAGUCCAUUAUCAUCUGUCAGCACUAAGUCACUGACCAAAUUUAUAUUUCCAGAGGUUAUAUGGCUCCUGAAUAUGCGAUGAGGGGUUAUUUGACAGACAAAGCAGACAUCUACAGCUUUGGAGUAGUUGCGCUAGAAAUUGUCAGCGGAAAAAGUAACACCAAUUACAGACCAAAAGAGGAUUUCGUCUACCUUCUUGAUUGGGUAAAAUAUGUUUUACGUGGUUUAUGCAAAUUUUGCUCAGUUCUCUUCAUUUCACCAUUUUCUUGAUUCUAAACGUGUUUUUGUCUCUUACAUUGGCUGAAUGUGAAGGCUUAUGUCCUACAAGAGCAAGGUAAUCUUUUAGACCUCGUGGACCAUAUUCUCAGUUCGAACUAUUCUGAAGAAGAGGCGAUGCGGAUGUUAAAUUUGGCGCUGUUGUGCACAAAUCCAUCUCCUUCACUUAGACCGGCUAUGUCUUCCGUGGUGAGAAUGCUCGAAGGCAAAAUCCCAGUCCAAGCACCAAAAAUAAUGCGUCGUACGCCAAGUGAGGGGAUUAGAUUUAAAGCAUUCGAGAAACUCUCACAAGAUAGCCAAACGCAUGUAUCGACAUACUCGCAGGAUAGUAAGGAACACAAUAGUGUUUCGAGAGAUGGACCAUGGAUUGAUUCGUCGAUCUCUUCUUUAAGCAAGGAUGAAACUCAGGAUCAUUCUGCAGCAAGUAGGCUGCUUCCUGAUCUUUAUGAUGUAAAUUUAGAUUAACUGAUGAUGCGUACUAGAGAAAUUUGUUUAUCUGAUUCUCGUACUAAUGUUUUCUUGGAAUUUCCGAAUGAUUAGUAGAAGGAAAAACUUUUGGUGGUUUUAUUACCGUUUUCAGUGGAAGUGUCGACGGUCCAGUUUCUUGCGUUUUCUGUAUUAUUCAGUUGAGUUUAGUUUGUGGUCGUUAUUGCUCAAAUAUUCUUGUACUUUAACAGGAACUUAGUUGCCAGCCAUUCAACUUCCACCAGUGACUCGUGAGUUCCUUGAAAUUCUUAUCAAUGUUUUGCCCUUUUUCUGUCAUUCUGCCAUUUCUUCCUGAUACUGUAGAAGUUUCUAACCUUUUUAUUUCACAGAACUAUAUGGUGUUUGAAGAGGGACCUCCCGUGCCCUGGAAAACCCAAUUGUAAGGGGUAUUGCUAUUACCAUAAGACAAUAAAUAUCAAUUCGAAGUUUGAUUGGCUAUGACUCAGUUGCCACCAUUCUUAUUACACCUGCAGAUUAUUCAUUGUUUAUAAAUUGCGGUGGAAGAAAGAUUACCUUCGAAGGAAAUGAAUAUGAAGAGAACUUAAGUGCGGAUGGUCCGUCAUACUUUGAGUCCCAUGAUAGAUGGGCUUAUAGCAGUACAGGGCUGUUCAUGGGGGAGGAUGAUGCCAAAUUUGUUGCAACAAACAAUUCUUCUUUGACAAUGACUGGUGCAGAAUUUUAUCAAACAGCUCGCCUCUCCCCUUCUUCACUCAAGUAUUUUGGACUUUGCUUGCGCAGAGGCAGCUACAGAGUGCGUCUCCAUUUUGCCGAAAUAAUGUAUACUGAUGACUCCACCUUUAGCAGCCUUGGAAGGCGGAUAUUUGACGUGGCAAUCCAGGUAAGUUGAUUCCCUAAUUUUCCAACAGACAUCUAUGACUACCACUUUCUUGGUUAAUUCAUUCCAUCUUUGGAUAUUUUGUUGUUUCAUGACUUAUUCCUCAGGAUUUUCUAGGAUC
This 3837-nucleotide long non-coding RNA is filed under the name Olea europaea (common olive). RNAcentral's name for it is "long non-coding RNA (OEUR_LNC001981)". The record is from RNAcentral. Lineage: Eukaryota; Viridiplantae; Streptophyta; Magnoliopsida; Lamiales; Oleaceae.